This is a long non-coding RNA of Athalia rosae (coleseed sawfly), 8694 nucleotides long. RefSeq lists it as uncharacterized. The transcript has 4 exons. The record is from RefSeq and is a predicted model, not a curated record. NCBI's taxonomy places the organism in Eukaryota, Metazoa, Arthropoda, Insecta, Hymenoptera, Athaliidae.
CCGAGUCGAAACUGAACUCCAGUUUCAAUAAAUGUUGCAAAGGUUUAUUGUCAAAAAAAAUAAUAUUGGGGUGGCCCCACCGAUGACGAGACCGAUGACGGAAAAUAAGCGAGAGAGAAAACAAUUGAAAAAAUUAACGGUACCGGGCUACGAAAUAUCGGGACGUGAAUCAAAUGCGUGAAAUACCGUAACCCCAAAGAGUACGAACGUGAAAACACAGCCACCUCCUAGAGAGAGCGACGGAUUGAUUUUCUGGCCACUCGCCGGCGCCAUUGCUAUCGACCUACCCUCAGAGCCAGUUUCCUUCCAACUUUUUUUCUUUUACUCUUAACCACCUUUUUAGCGAAUGCCAAAUAAUUCCCAGACUUUUACUAGAAACUUUGGAAUUCCAAUCAUCGAUCCAUUCGUACUGUCAACGAUUGAGGUUCUCCUGGGAUCGCCGCUUUUGACACUAGAGAUUCCACAGCAUCCCGGCAUUGCAGUCUGAUCCACGCAGGUUUUCUUUCCUGCCUCAUUUCGCUGUCAUACCGAAUUUUUAUGCUCGGAUUUUCAUCUCGAAACUCGGAGUUUUCAUUCCUCCUAUUAUCAAUAAUUUCUCGCUCUUGUAUCGUAUGACCGCAUAAAAAAACCGCAAACCAUAACCAGUAUUUUUAUCGGCCGACAAAACGUACUUAUACGAAGCUGCCUGUGAUCGUUGAGAAAUAAAAUUUCUCAACUCUAAUCGUUACAGGGCGGUCAUUGACGAAUUCCAACGCACCGAGUUCCCUGUUCGCUGUUACGGUAAUUUUGGGCCAUCGAAAUAUCAAACUUUCCAACGUCAGAAAAGCCAUCGGUAAACGGUCGUCUCUAUCCUCGAAGGAUUCGACAACUGUCAAACUGAAAUUCAAGUCAAGCGGAGUGGAGUCGCUUGCCGUUUGAAAUAUUCAAAGAAUCGAAAGUUUAGAAUCGUACGAUACAUAUACCAUUCGCACCGUCCAAGGGCUACGGGAUGUGCAAUUUUUCACUCGAUGGAAUUUCCGAAAAUUCAUGCCGCUCGAGUCGAUUAGCCGAAAUUAUUCAUCUGCCCUACGGCCGUGGCGAUGAAGUGUUGUGCACGUACACGUAUUUCAUUAUCCAAGAGUUAGCCAGCUACUAUAUCAAAUUUAAAUCAACACCCUUAUAUUUUAAAUAAUUUUAAAACUUCUCCUAACAUACUUUAAUAACCACGAGUGAAACGAGAUUAUCGUGUUCUCGAGUAAUUAAAUAUCUGUUAAACAUUUUAAACACGCGAAAUUAUAGUUUUAGCAGCACGAUACGAUCAAAAGUAAAAACUGCACGCACGCUGCACGAUCCUCUGCAGCAUAUUAGAAGACAUUACCGUUCCUCACCUUUCACGAUGUGACCGCAUAUGUUCGCGAACCACCACCACCUUUGAACGGAUUCUCAAAUUCGAUUCCUUCGAAUUCGAAUCGGUUGAUUUUCCGUAAAAACUGUUCAGCGAUUUAGAAAAAACGUUCCGAAUAGUUUACAGCGAAUAGAACUAGCGUCAAAUUUGUACACGCCAUUGUACCCCGAUACACGAAUAGGAUCGACCUUUAACACCCAUUCAUUCGUGUAAAGCCUCUCAUAUUUCAGAAUAGUAUAUAAAUACCCAUUCAAUAUAACAUGAAGACCGAUACCAGGAGUUUGUAAAACCAGAUAUAAUCCCGGUGCAGUUACUCAUUGUCAAGGUUGAUCUAUUUGCAACGCCCUUCCGCUCCGUGAAAAAAAUCACUCCAUACAUCGGUUCGAACACUGGUCAAAAUUUUUGAAUAAUUUCUACAAAAAAUCUUUAUCCCUUCGGAUCAGGAAGCUUUCACCAUUUUUCGUGAAAUUUAGUUUUGCGUUUUUACACUCCACAACUUUCGAUGCGAGUGAGGUAACGUCAAACGAUAAAAUUUCCGACGUAAUAAUUCGAGUAGUAACCGAUCAGUUUCUUAUCCGCAAUUAUUGAGUUACAACGUUUUAUAGAAUCAUCAUUAGAGAAACGUGAUUCGAAUGAAUGACGGAAGCCUUACCGAUUCAUCGCGUUCGAAUGGCGAUUAUGAUGGAAAACUACGUCCGUGAUAAAUCCCAUAGGGAGGGGGGUGGGGGUGGGGGGGUAAAAAUUAGUUGAAAUAUCAUACCCGGAAUUCCGUUUCAAUUUCUGGUCCUUUAUCCGUUCAUUAAUUAACUCGUAAUUGGUAGGCAAUUAUUUUCAUCUUUUUUCCCCCUUGGGUGGUCAGUGGUUCAGUUUUCCACUUGAUUGAAUAGAACAUUCGAUGUCACUGGCACUGUAUGCGAGUGAAGGAAUCGGUUAUGAAAUUAAUUAAUUGGUUGGUUGAUUGGUGCGAUGCGAAACGCAUUUUCACGUAUACAUGGUUACGUAUAUCCGACAUACCCUACAUCAUAUAACGAAUAAAAAAAAUAAAUAAAAUAAACCCCCGAAAAAAGACCCAGUGUCAUCGCAUCUAACGGUGAUUCGAUAAUUUCCCGCGACCACUCUAAUAAAAAUAACGCAAGGUAAUAUAAUGACGGUCGUGUCAUCAAAUACGUAAAUUAUCUACCUAAUUGGUAAGCAAUCGAUUUAGGUUUUUCUUUUUUUUUUCUCUAAUUUUUUUUUUUUUCGUUCCUUUAACGGCAAAUAUUUACCCAGCUCAUUAUGGGAUUAGCCACUUCCAAGGCUGUAACGACGAAAAUGGUAUACUCGCGACGUUCAGCGAUCAAAUUUAUGUUAGUAGUAUACAUAUAUAGUAUACGAGUACAAAUUAGGUAUGUAAAAAAAGCGGGUGUGCAUGUGCACAAGAGAUACGUAAAAGAACUAGCUCAACAGCCUACCCCCGGCAAAAGUAAUCAAUGCCCAGAUACUCGAACGUUUCGAAAAGAGAGGAAUGUCAGAAAUUUUUAGCGUGUCACCGAAAUGAAAAUACCUAAUUUCGAGUCUGGUGAUUAAUAUUUUGAUGACCGCAGACCUCUGUGUUUCAAUUAGAACCGUGUAAAGUGAUAAUACAGGUGUUUAUAAUGUAUAUCGUUUCGUUUUCUCAUCAGCAGCUUUUUCUGCAGUAUUUUUAAGUCUGGCUAAUUCGAAGGUUUCUGGCUUCUUCGAGGCUGUAACGAUUGCUUCUGCAGACAUGUCCGAGAAGGAAAAUUCGUAGCAGUUUUAUCGUUAGAAAAAAAAAAAAAAAACGCAUAAUGUCGUAGAUUCUGUUUCGAUGGAAAAAUUUCAUUUUGUACGGGCACACCGAUGAAACGAACGUCGGAUGCGUACUUGUAUAAUCCAGCAAAUUCAUUAUCAAAGUCCAAAUGUGAGCUGUGCGAAAUUUGAAUCGUUAGUGUGGCGAGUCUGUGUCCGUUAAGUAGGUAUAAAAACUACCGUGUAAAAGGUAAUGAGUCGAAAUUUAGGAGAUAAAAUGUACUUUCGAUUUAUAAAACGUCUGACAAUUAUGUGUAGCGAUCAGUUCCUGCGAGUGCGUUUUAUAACAACUCCGACGUAUCAUCAAACACAUAUGGAACAUUGUACAUAACAGAUGUUGUAAGUUAUACCACCUGCGUUUUACACGGUAUAUAUGUAUACAUAAUAAAUUCAUCGACUUUGACCCACUCGAUUCUCGUGAGUCGCGUGUAUAAUAAUUUUUCUACUCAUUUACCCCCCUCUCUUUUUCAUGCGCUAACGAUGAUUUCGUCGGUAGAUGAAAUUACGCCGACUUAAGAAUAUUGCAAAAUUCAUCGCGAGCGUUAUUGCAUAUUUUGAGUAUCCGUAUGUUCGCGAAGACGUGAUCGAAACCCACUACGAUAUAGAUGUUAAACCUACGCGUAGCCAUGGAUAUUUCAUCGACAAAAACACACCGAGCCGCGAGUGAUUCUUUUUUACAAGCGAUACAUCAAAUUUCGUGUACACCGUAGGAAUUUGAAAUCGAAUUUUAUGCCGAAAUUCCUGAGCAGAGAAGAAGUGACUCAUCGUCGUUUAGAAAACCGAUUCGCAAGUCAAUAAGAAACGUGAAAUAUGAUAUUUUGAUCACAGUUCUAUUCUCAUCUGAGUUGAAAAUUAUUGCACACGUUGAAAUGAUUCAGUUUCCAAUUUAUCAUUCUAUUCGGUGAUUCGAUUCGAUCUGUGAUCGUGAAAUAUCCAUUUACUUGGCACCCCAUUUCGGGAAUUUCGUGGUUCUGAAAGUUCUUCCGAACAUCGUUCGGUCCUUGACAUUCGUAGGAGAUCCAGAACACGCGGAAAAAAAACGGAAGAUCGGUUGUCUGCUCUGCACACCCCAUUUUUCGAAAAUAAUAUUUUUUCCGGUUGUUCGGGAAAAAUUCCGAAUGACACGAACGUUGUUCGAAGACAGGCUUUCCUAGAGGACGAGGAACCGGUAUCGCCGAUGAAUGACCAUGAAUCAGUUUGUCCAGUUUUUAUUCAACGAACGUGAAUUUUUCGCAUUAAAUGAAAAAAAAAAAAAAAAAAAAAAAAAUCCACAUGAGAGAAGCUCGCGGUAGAAAAAUAUCCCGGAGAAAACGCCACACCUGAUUCGUUUCGCACCGAAGUUAUAAUGCGUUCACGUUGACAUCGGCCCAGCUGUAAGGAUUUCUCGCCGAACUUCGCAGUUAUAAGGCCCGAGCUGGAUCAGUAUGUGAAAAACAAAAAUUCUAAUCCAAUAAUUAGAAAAUGAAUUUAACAUAAUGCAAUACAUAAUUUUAUACGGAGAGACAUUUAUCAAUUGAUUAAUUUAUUUAUUUCUGUUUACUUAUUAUUAUUAUUAUUUAAUUUUUUUUUUUUAAAUAAAUAUUUAUCAACACCAUCUUGAUGUGUGCGUCAUCUAGAUCCCGACGAAAAAUAAUUCGAAUAAUUCCUGACUAUUUUUCUGUUUUCUGUAAGAUGUAGAAAUUUGUCUCGAUUGCGCGAUCAUUGACAAUGAAUCGAAAAUAACGAUAAAAUGAUAAGACGCCCUUUACCUCGAGACUGCCUCAUUCUUAUAUUAUAUAAUAUUUGGGGAUAAGAGAAACGAACAUGAAAUUGUAACCAACCGUUUGGACGUAGCCUAGCCGGGGUGAAAUUCCAACAUAGAAUUAUAGGUAGGUAAGUAGAAUUCGAAGUAUAAUACAUGGGUGAAGAAUUCAGCGCUUAUAGAUCCAUGUGUAUAGGUGAUGUCAGAGAAAGUAUUAGAAAUAGAACGCUCAGAUCCACCUGUCGGAUAAUCUGUUUACCUGAAACAAUGCCUUCCGGGUCUUUAAGAUCGAGAAUUCUUGGCUCCGUUGACCGAAACAUUAGAUUUUAUCCCGCGGAGGCAUGAAACCAUUUUUCAAAUGCAAAUAAACAAUCGUCUUUUUAUCACCUGACGUAUACACACACACACACACACGCACUAUGCGUCACUCUAGAUAAUUCUACCAGCUGUCAACGAACAAUUAAUUUAUUGUGCCGCCUAAGACUUAUAUCCGUAACAGCUGUGUUGAAAUAUUUUUGCCCAAAAUAAAUACGUAGUACAUACACACAUCCUAUCAUCGAUUAUUUCAAACAUCGUUCCCCACGAUCCGCUCAUAAUUACGGUCAUAAUUAUGGUCAUACGGCGCAUUUUGUUGCUGCCAAACUAGGGAUCGAACAUCGGGGUGCAGUAUGCGCAUAACGUGUCGCGUGGUUGUGCGUAAGAAUAGGGACAACGACGACGACGACGAUAUUGAUAGUAAUGAUGAGCUGACAGUGAUCGGACUUACCAAUCGCGUCGAGCACAUCUCGAAUUCCUCAAGUUUGCGUACGGCGCGACGCGUCGAUUCAGGUGUGGCGUCACUUCCUUUUCCUGUUCUCUUCUGCGGGUGAAUCGUUGGAGAGAAGAUGUCCUCCGAUAUUUAUCCGUGAUAAUUGCUCGAAUCAUGCGAGUGGAACGAUCCGAAUUCUUACCUGCAAGAUGGAAAACCUUCGUGAAAAUACCGUACCACGAUGGUUUUUUUUUAUCUGAACGUUUUUAAUCUACAUUAUUACAUCCCGCUGGUGACAAUCGACUGACGAAUCGGCGAAAGAGUAAUGGACAACGACGAACUGUGCCGUACAUACCCCGCUGCGCGAUCAUCAUUUUUGAUCAUCUAAAAAUACAAACUUCAAUUCGUUACAUCGUAUCGUUACUCUGCAUCUGAAGGAAAUGGAUCGAAAAAAACAUCGCUCUACCGAAUGAAUAUUCCCCAGCUACAACCGAACAAUACGCGAAAUCAAAUCCGUAAUUUUGACGAGUAUCUUCGCGUUAUCAGAGGAUUCCUAAAUUUGAUCAAUAGACAUCCUGACAACCCACCGUUCAUCUUGUCUUUCUUCGGACUCGUAACGAUCUGCAGACUAAACGCGACACAGGAAAGACGCGGUGCUUAAGGGAGGUGGGCACUGCUUUGGAACUGUCUUCGCCACGGAAAAGUAAAGAAAAGAGAGAAAAUGACGCUGAAAGACGAGCUUGGAUUAUAAAAAACACUUUGGAGAGAAAUAUUUGGAGUUUAAGGAGAUUAUAAAGACUGAUCGCGUUUGCGAUGAAUUAAUGAAUCGAACAAAGAACAGCUGAGACGAAGAAUAUUGCCGUAUGUAUUUCGUGCGUGGUAUUUUUUGUUCGUUUGAUAUUUUUAUUUCAAUUCAAUAGUCAGUUCUUCGUUAUCUUCGUGCAAGUGAAAAUCUAGCUCGAUGACAGGUGGUUGGUUUAGCGUGUACGAAAAUUCAAAAUCAUAGCGUUUUCUGUUGGGUACCCGAUUUUAGAAAAUGACGUCGUUUUAAAAUCAAAAAUUGUGAAAAAUCUAUGAUUUUUAUAUUUUCACUGUGCGUUAUACCGUUACCACGAAAACUCAGUGAACCAAAUUCCAUCUCACACUAUGAAUUCAAAGUAAAUGUCAAUUGUAAAUUUCGAUAGACUCAAGUGGCCGACAAUCAGCCCCAUAAAUUCUUAUCUUCCUUAUUUUCAACAGCAUAUGGCAGAAUGUGCUUUGAUUAAAUUUUCGAGUCCUUAGAUAAAAAUCAAAAUUAGGAUCAAACGUACACGUCAAUUCUUCACAUUUCCGUCACUCCAUUUUUCAUGUUCACGCAUAAUUUUCCGUUUGAUUCGGUGGUCGGUUUUCUUUUCGUUUCAAUUUCGAUAAUUUUCGAUUUCGCAAUACGGCGCAUUCUUCCCUAAUUAAUUACACGGUAAUAGAUUUGAAUUGUGUUUUCGUAUAAACCUAGGAGUCAUCGCGUACAUUGAAUGUGAUUACGAGCCGCCCAAACUUCGCAGAUUAUCGCACUGUGUUCAUUUGCAAUAAAAUCAUUAUCAUCGUGUCGCUGGUCAGAUGAACAAUGCGAUAAUCUAUAUACGAUACCGUAAUUACAUUUACGUGCGCAGAUAGCGUCUAGACAUUAAUACACCUAUGCAGAACCACCAAUCACGACGUUCGAUGAUCGCUCUACAUAAGUUCGAAAAUUUUCUAAUGCAGUUUUUAUGAUAAUUGCUGGCUAAAAACUGCAGAGAAAAUUUACGAAUUUCUUCAUGUUUCGUCUUCUCUCAAUUUUGCUGAUCAGCCGGUUCUUCAAAAAUCUAUAAACACAUUUCAAUUUCAAAAUCAAAACCGAUUCUCUUAAAAGCUAACAAUUAGAAGUUUGCGCGUGAUAUUUCGGAAUUACAGGUGUAUACGGUACGUAUCGUAUGAAUCAACCGACCGAAUUUUGCAUGAAUAAUUUCUUCACCGUUUACAAUAUAUCACAUAUAAAAUAAAAAAAACGCGUACGCAUGCAGUGCAGAUUAUGUUCAACUUUGAUUUGUAAUUCAAAUUCUUAACCCCUUGCGAAAACGUCAAAGGAGUCAGGUGUUCGUUUAAUAAUUGUUUCAUAACAUGCUAAUCGCGCGAUAAAUAAUGUAGAUUAAAAAUUCAAUCCAAUAGAAUUAGGGUCGGGUCCGGCAGCGGCAGUGGUUUCGUACACAUAAUUUCGUCGCGUACAGGCCUCGCAUGAUUCGAGCAAUAUCGAACUAAUUAACAUAAAAAAAAGAGAAAAAAAAUUUGUUUUCAUUACAAUAUGCAUCACCUUUGUGCUUGUCUUUUAAUUAUAGUUCUCUUAUCCAAAAUUUACAGUCAGUCAAAAAGUAAAGAAAACGAAAAUAACCAUUUCAAAUUUACGUUUAUAACUAUUGACUAUUGUUCUUUUUAACGAUUCUUAAUCAUUCGACUACUAUGAAUUAUAUCCGCGAAUACACGAUUUUAUUCGUUGGACUAUCGUUUUUUUUUUUAAACAUUAAAUCAUACCUGCGAAUAUAUUUCACCCGAUAUUACUUGGAGUUCAAUAAUACAAUACGUAGAAGUAAGAAAUAAAUUUAUGUCUCUACUGCAGCCAUUGAAAUAUUGAUAUAGGUUUACACUUUAUAAAAUAUGCGUUCUUUUAAUUUUAAGAAGGAAGAAAAAGAAGUCACUUUUUUUUGUGCAGUGUAAUUCUAACUAUUAUAUUAUUACAAAGGAGCUGGAAUUCUCACAAGAAAACAAAAGUUAUUAACCAAUUUCUGUUCUACUGAAUUUUAAAAUUGCGGUAUUACCUUUGUCAGACUGCAUUUAGAUUAAUCAUUAGAAGUUACGACGAAUUAGAUUUAAUUAGCAUAUAAAUACAAUGCGUGUUUUCAAUUUAUCUAAAAACAAUCUGUAAAUUUAUAACUCUACGAACAUGAUUUCAUUACAAAUUAAUCAAGUACCCGAUGUAACAUAAAAAGUAUCUACAGAUCAUAA